UUUUUGCGUUAACGAUAGUAGCGGCAUCCUUUUUUCAUUUCAGAAAAAAGAUACAGCGGAUAGCGUGUUAAAAC
This 74-nucleotide small RNA is filed under the name Pedobacter psychrophilus. RNAcentral describes it as "Pedobacter sp. CCM 8644 Flavo-1 RNA". It matches the Rfam family "Flavo-1 RNA". Lineage: Bacteria; Pseudomonadati; Bacteroidota; Sphingobacteriia; Sphingobacteriales; Sphingobacteriaceae. The record is from Rfam by way of RNAcentral.